Molecule: non-coding RNA, 45 nt
Organism: Schistosoma curassoni
Lineage: Eukaryota; Metazoa; Platyhelminthes; Trematoda; Strigeidida; Schistosomatidae
Source: Rfam
AUCCAGCUGAUGAGUACAAUACAGGACAAAACGCGCGUCCUGUAU